This is a non-coding RNA of Biomphalaria pfeifferi, 677 nucleotides long. The record is from the annotation of a GenBank genome assembly. NCBI's taxonomy places the organism in Eukaryota, Metazoa, Mollusca, Gastropoda, Planorbidae.
GGGGGGGGGGGGGUGUUUUUUUUGUAAGUAUUUUUUUUUUAUCUUGCUUUUUCUCUUGUGCCCAUUUGUUAGCUCAACAGCCACAUGAUUAUAUUCCUGCUCCGUUACCUCAGAUUAAGUGUGGGUACUGUCACUGCCCUUACUCUGUAUUUGCUAUUAGCGUUAAACAUUAUUUCCAGCAACAUUGGUCUAUUACUGUAUGUGUUUGUUGUGCUUAUGUUAUGGUAAGGGUUAAGUUUGUCUAUCAUCUGCCUGUGAAACAGUUUCAUGGGCUUAAUUGGAUCUGAUAUUGAAUGUGUCAUUGGGUGUAAACAGUAGAACUAUUGUAUUUGAAAGUUGUUCCCUGGCUACCCAAGUUGUCCUUCUGAAGGGGACUGGGGGAGUAGAUCAAAACCUGAGGAUUUGUUGAGUGGAUGGAGAUUGAAUUGUGUUUAUGGACUCUUAUGAGAAAGGAACCACACUAACUUGGCUAUGUAGUCAUGUUGGGGUCACUAUUCUCUGUAAAUAGUUUGCACUACCUGUGGAUACGUAUAUAUAUAUUCUCCCCAUUGGUUAAUUUUGUUUUAUCUGAUGUGAAUCAACUUAAAGUUGGCAAGUGAAAAAAUGUGAGUUGUAUUAAGUCAUACAGAGCUUGUCACAAAUACAAAACAAUAAACAAAAAUAGUGAAUCAAUAAAC